CGGAUCGCGGCGACGCUGGUGGUUCGCCGCCGGUGACGUUGUGAGAGUUCAUUAAACCUUAUCAUUUAGAGGAAGGAGAAGUCGUAACAAGGUUUCCGUAGGUGAACCUGCGGAAGGAUCAUUG
RNAcentral lists this ribosomal RNA (124 nucleotides) under Frullania junghuhniana. RNAcentral's name for it is "partial 18S ribosomal RNA". It matches the Rfam family "Eukaryotic small subunit ribosomal RNA", at positions 1711 to 1831 of the family's 1831-position model. Lineage: Eukaryota; Viridiplantae; Streptophyta; Jungermanniopsida; Porellales; Frullaniaceae. The record is from RNAcentral.